GUAGUCAUAUGCUUGUCUCAAAGAUUAAGCCAUGCAUGUCUAAGUAUAAGCACUUUAUACUGUGAAACUGCGAAUGGCUCAUUAAAUCAGUUAUCGUUUAUUUGAUAGUACCUUACUACAUGGAUACCUGUGGUAAUUCUAGAGCUAAUACAUGCUAAAAACCCCGACUUCAGGAAGGGGUGUAUUUAUUAGAUAAAAAACCAACGCCCUUCGGGGCUCCUUGGUGAAUCAUAAUAACUUAACGAAUCGCAUGGCCUUGCGCCGGCGAUGGUUCAUUCAAAUUUCUGCCCUAUCAACUUUCGAUGGUAGGAUAGUGGCCUACCAUGGUGGCAACGGGUAACGGGGAAUUAGGGUUCGAUUCCGGAGAGGGAGCCUGAGAAACGGCUACCACAUCCAAGGAAGGCAGCAGGCGCGCAAAUUACCCAAUCCCGAUACGGGGAGGUAGUGACAAUAAAUACUGAUACGGGGCUCUUUUGGGUCUCGUAAUUGGAAUGAGAACAAUUUAAAUCCCUUAACGAGGAACAAUUGGAGGGCAAGUCUGGUGCCAGCAGCCGCGGUAAUUCCAGCUCCAAUAGCGUAUAUUAAAGUUGUUGCAGUUAAAAAGCUCGUAGUUGAACCUUGGGUCUGGCUGGCCGGUCCGCCUCACCGCGAGUACUGUCCGGCUGGACCUUUCCUUCUGGGGAACCUCAUGGCCUUCACUGGCUGUGGGGGGAACCAGGACUUUUACUGUGAAAAAAUUAGAGU
RNAcentral lists this ribosomal RNA (744 nucleotides) under Penicillium decumbens. RNAcentral describes it as "SSU rRNA". It matches the Rfam family "Eukaryotic small subunit ribosomal RNA", at positions 20 to 772 of the family's 1831-position model. Lineage: Eukaryota; Fungi; Ascomycota; Eurotiomycetes; Eurotiales; Aspergillaceae. The record is from RNAcentral.